GAUCGACUUUGGCCAUCUGUCUGAUUGGUAAUGUGAUCGUGGUGCCAGCAGAGGAUGAAGUUCCGCCUAAAUAGAAAAAAGGCUUCUGAAGAAGAUGAGGAUGCAGAUGAUCUUUUGUCGAAUGCAAGCGACCAGAGCGAGAGGAGAUUGAUAACAUGUCCGUGUCUGGGCAUCUUCCUAUCGAGGAAUUUGACUAUUAUGAUCUCGAUGGAAGUGCUGAUAAGGACUAUGGCACUUGCAAUUGGUAGUGAUAGAGAGAGAGAGAUCCUUCACCCAUGUGGACAUGGUAAUGAUGACGAGGGUGGUUUGGAUGCAUGAUAUGGUGUGGUGAUGAUUUUGAUGACGUAGUAGUGUUGCGAUGGUGGUGGCACCGACCAAUGAUGACAACGGUGAUGAUGAUCAAUCCAAUAUAAUUGGCAAGU
Molecule: long non-coding RNA, 422 nt
Filed under: Musa acuminata (dwarf banana)
Lineage: Eukaryota; Viridiplantae; Streptophyta; Magnoliopsida; Zingiberales; Musaceae
Description: long non-coding RNA (MACU_LNC006131)
Source: RNAcentral